Molecule: long non-coding RNA, 306 nt
Filed under: Brassica napus (rape)
Lineage: Eukaryota; Viridiplantae; Streptophyta; Magnoliopsida; Brassicales; Brassicaceae
Description: long non-coding RNA (BNAP_LNC023468)
Source: RNAcentral
AUGACAAUAGGAUCCUGCUUUAAUAGUAUAGAUGUAGAGGGGUAACUUGAAACGCAAUGUCUUAAACCUAGUUUCUAAAUUUAUUUUAUCGUCUUCAAAUUAAUGUACCAAAGAUGACAAUUUUACUCAAAAUGUAGACUCGGCGAUAUCACGUUGAUGCUAGCUGCAACGCAGACCUUUUACGAGACUUUUGUUUUCUCUCGAAAAUAAUUUCAAAAUAUAUUAUUAUAAAAAUAAGUCCAUCCAUAGUUACAUUUACACGUGUCUCCGACUUUUAUAUUAUGCAAUAUUCAAAGUUAUUGCAUA